AAUGUUGGCCGUUUGCCACAUGUUUUGGAUUUUUGUUGGAAAUGUUUCUUAAGCAAAUUGUCUUGUGAGUUAUUGAGAUUAUUCUUGUAUGACUAAGUGAAGUUGUAUGAAUGAAUGAUUGUAUUGAAUAUGAUGUUUAUCAUGAGAUGGGUAUGCUAUCUUACUUAGAAUGUAAGGAAUGCUUGAAUGGUGAAACUAUAUGUGAUAGUUGAUGUUGAAUGGUUAUAUGUUGGAUAUGAUAUUUGUCAUGAGAUGUUGUAUGUUCUCUUACUUGGGAUAUGAGAAUUGUUUGGAAUGGUGAAACUAUAUGAUAUAGUUGAUGUUGAAUGACAUUGUUGAUUAUUGAUAAUCAUGUUGAUGUGUGAUGGGAAUACUAUGAUUUAUUUGUGUGGGCAUGUUUUCUUGAUAAUGCAAUGUUGUGGAGAUAAUCAAUAUAAUUGGGUGUCGUCCUAUAUAUUGAGUUGAGAUUGUGAAUUGUUGUCGCAUUAUCGAGUUCUUACACAUGUCCAUGCAUCAUAGUCGUUGUUGCUGUAAAAGGGAUGACUCUUUUACUUCGAGAUUAUUGUAAGGCAGAGGUGAGCCUUACAUGCGAUGUUGACUUGUCCAUCGGAGGUGACGACCUUGUUGAGAUUUGGUACCACAUGCAUUUAUGUGUCCAUAAGUGCAUAUCAUAGCAUGAGUCUUAUGUGAAAUAUGUGAUUGGUGAUGAAUUGAGAUGAAUGAUUAUUGAUGAUGUUUGUGAUUGAUGUUUGUGAAUGAAUAUUUGUGAAUUGAUAAUUGUUCAUGAAUUAUGAUAAUGAUGGUUCAUGACUUUUGAUUGGUGAUUGUUCAUGAUGUAUAUGAUCAGUGAUUGUUCAUGAUGUAUAUGAUUGGUGAUCGUGUAUGAAUAACUGUGAAUUGAUAUUUAUUUAUGAUACAAGUAAUUGGUGAUUGUUCAUGAAAUAUGAUUAAUGAUUAUUCAUGAUAAACGUGAUUGGUGAUUGUGAAUGAAUAAGUGUAAAUUGAUAAUUGUUCAUAUGAUUGACGAAUAUUGAUGUGAGAUAUCGGGG
This 1049-nucleotide long non-coding RNA is filed under the name Medicago truncatula (barrel medic). RNAcentral's name for it is "long non-coding RNA (MTRU_LNC000140)". Lineage: Eukaryota; Viridiplantae; Streptophyta; Magnoliopsida; Fabales; Fabaceae. The record is from RNAcentral.